RNAcentral lists this long non-coding RNA (941 nucleotides) under Numida meleagris (helmeted guineafowl). RNAcentral's name for it is "lncRNA (ENSNMEG00000001844.1)". The record is from RNAcentral. Lineage: Eukaryota; Metazoa; Chordata; Aves; Galliformes; Numididae.
GUAAAGAUUUCAGUUUCUAGGGGAAGGAUAAUUAUAGCAUAUUUUUUGUUCAUUUUACUCUAGGGUGAAGUAAUUCUAUCUUAUUUCAUUUCAGAGCUGCACAGUACCAAGUAAAGGAUCUAAUUACCAGGAGGACCUCACAGAAUUUUCCUGAAACUAUUCCUUGUAAAUAUAAAUGUGAGUGAAGCCCAACAGGAACUCAAGAGUCACUGAAAAGUCUCUGUUUUACGGAACGUGAGUACUAUAGUCAAUCUCACAGAUUCUAAUUAAGAAUGGAAUUAACAACAGUCUUUGGAAUGCAUUUAGGAGCUUUCAGGCCGAUUGUCAUCGUAGCAAAACUUGCAUCAACAUCGCAAAAAAACAAAAUUUCUCCUUCACUUUUAAGAUGCAUCGUCUGCAAAACUGCUAAACACAACCAGACUGCACAAAAUGGAUAUAUUCAAAUAUACAACUGUGACAAAGAUCAAGAAGAGUAAAUUACUUUUCUUAAGGUGCAGAACACUGAUUACUGGAAAGUCCCUGGAUGAGAGGUUGGGUUUGAACUACUGAAACAACUGUUCUAUUACGACCUGCAAAAGAGAGACACCAGGAGGAUUAAGCAACUCCUGUUGGAAUAGUCCUCCCAGGCGCCUGGAUGAAGGGUGCCAUGAAGGACAAAACUACCAGAGUGGUGCCAACAGACCUUCCGUAAUUGAUGUUCUGUCAGUAUUUUCUUCUUAGUGGGUACAUUGCCAUUUUCUAACUCUCACCCACCUUGCUUUUGCUUCAGAAGUGCUCUAAAGGGUGAAUCUUUGCAAGUGUGGGUUUUUAGGGUACUUCUGGGUUUAAAAUGCUAAUCUUUUUUUUUUUUUUUUGCUCUGGGUUGCAAAUGGUAACAUACAGGUCCCUCAGCACUAUAACCCAUCUUUUUUUUUAAUAAAGAAAUUAAUGUCACAGAUUCA